CAAGCCCUCCUUGGCUUCUCCGUGUCGCGCACCUCGCCUUCUCUUCGUCACACUCCUUACCAGAACUCGAAUCAAUGGUGAGGUGCAUGUCGUUGUGUAACCCAUCUUCAGCUCUGUCUCUUUCACUCUUGAGAUACCUGCUGUUGGAUUCCAUGUGCUGUUGCCGAUCUACAGUUUGUGCGUGCGACUGUGAGAGAGAGAGAGCAAGGGAACCAGCGAUGGAGCGAGAGAAAGAGAGAGUGAGCUUGGAGGGAGGGAGAGUGAUUCUGGUGCCGUACAUGAACGAACACGUUCCAAAAUACCAUGAGUGGAUGAAAGACCCAGCUCUCCUCCAAGCCACCGGCUCCGAGCCCCUCACCCUCGACCAGGAAUACUAGAUGCAGCUUACCUGGACCCAAGACCCCAACAAGCAGACUUUCAUUGUAUUGGAUAAGCAAUUGGUUGUGGGAGAGUUCAACCAUGGAGAGCCUCAUGUGGAAGGUUAGCCAAAUUUACAGUCAAAUUUACAGUCUUUCUUCACAAAAUUACCUUAUGAUUGGUUGCUGAGAAAAAUUAUGGAGACAUUCAAAUGAUUACUUAAGAACAGUUGGUUGGAUGGUUUUGGAUGAAAUCAUGAGAAGUGUUUAGUAAAUUUUGUUCUUAAUUUUACUAAGAUUUUGAGUUUUUUUUUUCCUCUGCAAAUUUCGAUUAAAUUGCUUGCAAUUGAACUAUUUUGUAAUUUUCUAUAAAACUCCCUGUAUAUUUAUUAUUUGUUUCCAAUAGCAGGUAAUUAGGUAUUGUAUUUUUUGAAAACUCCGAUUAAUUUUUUCAUGUUCUUCUUUUCUGGUAGGAAGAUUAGGGAUAAGCUCUGUACCCAAACUCGAGAGAGAGAAAGGGCAAUCUGUUGGCGCCAAAUCCCAACACGAUCUCUGGAAAAGAAAAGUGGAACACAUAGCGGAAGAGGCUCAGUCUUUGAAGGAGAGUUUGGAUAGGUAUGAUGCGAGGAAUCAGAAGAGGGUGACGAAGUGAGAGAGAGGGCAGAGUUGCUUGGAAGAGCCAAUGGAGAUGGUGCUCAUGUUAUGAGAAUCUUCGACAAGGAGGCGCAAGCAGGGGACUCAGUUCGUAACUCUGCUCACAUGCUUGAAGAAACCAAUGCUAUUGGGGAAACUAUUCUCAGGAAAUAUGCAGAACAGAGGGAAUUUCUAAAGUAGAUAUGAGCAUCCUCCCUUCACUUCCUAGAUCAUUGGUUGGUUCUUCUUGCUUGGUUUAAUUGGGUAAAUUAUUAAUUUCAUGUAUUGAUACAAUCUCAUGUGAGAAAUUAAUAAAGCUUGCAUUUUUAAUUUGUUGGUGUGUUAUUAUUGAUUAGUUGGUUUGAUUGAGUAGUUAUAUAUUAAUUUUUUAGCAAUAACGUACUAAUGGCAUUCCAGAGCUGGUUAUCUAACAAAUUUGGUAGCAAAAUAAUUUCAAUGUUGGCGCUUUGUGGAUUUUGCAUAUUGUUACGGCUUCUUGAGACCUCAUCAUCUGUAUUCUAUGUGUUUCCGUUUUGUGCAGACGAUAGUUCAAAUGUGUCAAUGGUUCUCGAAAUGUGAUUACAAGUUUACGUACAUUCAGUCUACCAACAACAUUUCUUUGCACACAACUCAGACACAUGGAUAUGUUCCAAUCUCUGCGACAAGCGAGGCCACUACCAUAGGCGAAUAUCUUCAUACAUGUGAACUAGGUGCACGGUUUUUUGGGACGAGUUAGGAAGAUCCACAUGAAAACAGCAUAGAAGAUAGAGAACUGGAAAUACUACAUUUAAGGAAAAGCCUGAAAUAAUGUUGUCGAGUGUUAUACUGAAGCUAUCAGAUUGAACAUGAUGUGUGCAACUUAUGAUUGCAACCGUGCAACUGCUUACUUGGAGGUAAUAGUCAUUCUAUUGCAUUCAUAUCUUUAGAAUCUUUGUUUUUAUAACUAUUGGUGAAAGCACUGCAGACCAAAUCAUGUUAUAUAUGCUUAUUGUAAACAGUUUUGUUUGUAAAGGGACAGCUGGGUGGUUUGGCAUUAGUUGCUGUUAUCCAGAUUUUGUAUCUUUAUGUGGAAAUGAGUCGUAGCUGGUAAAUGAGAAGCAGAGUAAGCAAAUUACGGAGAUACCUCCAGAAGAGUACAAAAUGCCACGGGUAUGGAUUGACUUAUAAAUGACUGGUGAGGGUAAAAUAAAUCCUUGGAGUGAAGCUCCUUAUAAGGAUGCUGCAAAGAGAACGGCAUGUGGGAAUUUACCUCUUAAUGCAUUUUUGUCUGAGGUAUCUUCGUUUUCAUUGC
Malus domestica (apple) is the source of this 2280-nucleotide long non-coding RNA. RefSeq lists it as uncharacterized. The record is from RefSeq and is a predicted model, not a curated record. NCBI's taxonomy places the organism in Eukaryota, Viridiplantae, Streptophyta, Magnoliopsida, Rosales, Rosaceae.